Molecule: ribosomal RNA, 253 nt
Filed under: uncultured bacterium
Lineage: Bacteria
Description: partial 16S ribosomal RNA
Rfam family: Bacterial small subunit ribosomal RNA
Source: RNAcentral
UACAGAGACUGCAAGCGUUAUUCGGAUUCACUGGGCGUAAAGGGUGCGCAGGCGGCCAAGUGUGUGAGGCGUGAAAGCCCGGGGCUUAACCCCGGAAUUGCACCUCAAACUACAUGGCUAGAGCAUUGGAGAGGGUAGCAGAAUUCAUGGUGUAGCAGUGAAAUGCGUAGAUAUCAUGAGGAAUACCAGAGGCGAAGGCGGCUACCUGGACAAUUGCUGACGCUCAGGCACGAAAGCGUGGGGAGCAAACGAG